AAACAUCGACACUUGUCAGCACACAGAAGAUUCUGGCAAAGGAACUAAAAGCAUAUCAUGUGGGAAUGGAAUAUAUAGUUUUUUUUUUUUUGAUAUCAAGAAUCUAUAGUUAAAUAACUAAAAGCAUAAGAAGAGCUCCAAAUGCUUCCAAAAAGGAAGAAAACAUAAAAUCAUAUCGUAAUUAAUUGCAAGGUGGACAUCAACAGCAAAGCGAUGAGGUAGAUAGUGCAUACCACACUUCUUGCAGUGAAAAUAAU
RNAcentral lists this unclassified non-coding RNA (257 nucleotides) under Hevea brasiliensis (rubber tree). The record is from RNAcentral. Lineage: Eukaryota; Viridiplantae; Streptophyta; Magnoliopsida; Malpighiales; Euphorbiaceae.